UGCCAUGGGGACCCCACCCAUGGUAGUCGUUACUUUAGUAACUAUGGUGUCAAAGCUAACAUAUUUACUUACUAGAAUCUUCCUUUUUGUCUUCCUAGAUAGCAUCUAGGAUGUCGGUUGAUUGCUAGAUCCGGCUGCUGUCCAUGUGUGGCCGAGAGAUGUGCGAAGGCUGGAACGAUGUGAUUUUGAUCUUGUGCAGGAAUGGUGACUGGGCGAUCUAGACUGUCGUUUGUGUGGUGAUCGAGACCUUGAUGAUGAGCGAGAGCUUUGGCUGCUGUCGUUGUUCCGGUUCCCACGAUUGUGACUCUGUGUUCGAGUACAGCCAGCCCUCUUUUGUAGUGUGUCGGGAAGAACCUGACCUGGAUCUCGAACGACUGAGCAUGGGACGAAUAGCUUCGACAUGGCAGCUACCGAUGCUUGUAUUGCUGACUGGAUCACAGUCUCUAGCGAUGUGCUGUCAAUUUGUGUGGCCAUGGUAGGUGUUUCCAUCGCCAUCGCCGUGAAUUAAGGCAAUAGAAGAGCAGCUGACAUGACAGCAAUCUAAUUGUUUGUGUAGCAUUUACAGUUUCAUAGUUUUUGUACAAAAUGUGUAGAUGGUGAAUUGAGUUGUGUGUGUGGCAGUCUUGUGUUUGUGAUGUUUGAGUGCAAGUGAUCAUAUUGCAAUUUAUCCAUAAAUAUGCUAGGAAGGAGAUCUCUGGCAAAAGUUACACACACAAAGUGUCAAUGAAACAUGUAAAUCUGAUGUCUGAUGAUUGAUACGUUUGGGGUGGUUCUGGUCGUAUUGACAGAAACUGGUUGUGACGUGAUUGUCGAUGCGUAAUGAUGUUUGACUGCAAGUAUCAUUUCCUGUUAUCAGAGUAGAUUCUGGCUUUGAGAACGUAUAUGGGUAAAGGUCAAACCAUGGAUUCUACAUAGACGUAUGUCACUGACUGCAUGGCAAUUAAAGCUUUUCAAUAUUUAGUCUCGUUUCUAUUUGACUGUUUUGCUGUAAUUUCAAGUCUAGAACAAGCAAACUCUUGACAAUGUUUGCAAGGCGUGUGAUCAAUCAAUGUUGACUGAUCGAUACAUUCUACAGUUUGAAUUAUGAUGCAUUGUCAAUGAGCAGUGGUUGCCGUAUUUGAUCUGAACAUGGAUCAUGCACAAUGAUUUAAUUGGUAAAUUGAUGUUAUGAAAAUUAGCACCACUUGGCAAGUUUCAUGAUGACUAUACAACUGACAUCAUGCAGUCGACUGAUUUGGGCAAAUUGUUGCAAGCAAAGGCACAAUAGGAACAGAAUUUAGUCAAACUGAAACUUGUGAUGAUGAUAUGGUUCAGCUAGCAAGAUGAGCCACACAUAACAACCAAUAGCUACAAGGCUGAAAACAAUGACGGGCUGACGUUUGAUCAAGGAGUUGUGAUCGAUGUUGUUUAAAGGAACUUGGAUGGCUGGUGGCUUGUUAGGUUUUUUGCAUUUUGUUGUAACGAACUUUGUCCCUUUGAUUGGAACACUAAAAUCAAAUAAGAAAAGAACUAGAAAGAUUAGGUAUUUAAACCAUAUUAUUUGGGACAAUUUAGUAGCCCAUAUAUUUCUUUUGUUUUAAAGAUGGCAACAUUUUGUGCUUAUUGUAGAUGUUAGAAUUUGCAUUGGUAAGUCAAGGUAUACUGUAAGAUGAUAAUCAUCAUGCAGACACUCCAAAUGUGAUUGUUGUCGUUUACUAAACUUUGAAAUGAAAUGAAAUAUAAUCAGAAUGAAAAUGUUGGUCACACUUGCGGACCCAUACAUUGAAAGUGCGACAUCUGAGGAUCUUGUAGAGUGUCACCAAUGGGGACGUACUCUACUAACUGGAAAUGUUUUAUACGACUGAUGUGAGUUGACUUUUCUGGUCAUAUAGUUAUGUGGGAUGUAAUGAAGGUUACAGUAAGAAGAGAAUUGAGAGAAAGUACAACUGAAUGACUCAGCUAUCAGCUGUCGUUCUCCAACUAGUUUUGUGUAUCUCUUCUUCCAAGCCAUAUUGUUGUACUUGUUGUUACUGAUGUGGUGGUGAAAUGGUGAAAUGAAGUGUUAUGAUGGUGUGACUGUCAGAUGGCAGUGUGAGUUCUUGCAAUGGACUGUCUAUGCUGUAACAUAGUGGAUCUAUUACAGUACGAAUCACUGCUGUUGCAAUUUUUAUCUAUCAAAGGUUGUAAAAGUCUUAUUGUUUGAUCAUCUAUACAAAGGUGCUUUUUGGUGUCUAUUUGGUGAGAAAGUAGCCUCGUAUAACAUGACAACACCGGAGACUCCGAGUUGUCGUGUUAUAUGGGAACCGGGCACGACGGCACCAGAGGGUCUUGUACAAGGCUAGUGAGAAAGCAUGUGCAUUGAGUUAAUAAGUUUUGCACACUUUAGCAUAUUUGCAGUGGUGGGUGACAAUGUGAGAGCUCAAUGCAAAUAGGGUGUUGUAGAAAAUGAUGUGCUGAUCAUGAAAAUGACAAUAUGAACUUGUAGGCAGGAAAUGAGAAAGGGGAGGGGCUGGAUAUGAAAACAUAUUGAGGUCAUCAUUUGUAGAUGAUUUUGGAAACAUAGGAUUACAUGGAAAUGCUCUAUUUCAGACUAGACUGUACCCACCCCGGAUGUGAGGUUGUGUGAGGAGAAGUAUAUAAGAGCAAGCUCACCAGCUCACUUCAUCAGUAUCGAGGAUAUCGGUCAUCAUCAUGUUUUCAUUUUUUUGUGACAGUUCUUGUGCUCAUUCAAGUCAUUGCUACUUGUGGUGGUCAAAGCGUGUCAGAUGAGAGAAAGCAGACAUGUGUGCCUGCUGGCGUUCCAGGAGUACCUGGAUCACCUGGGUUGCAUGGAUCACCCGGACGAGAGGGGAUAAAAGGAGAAAAAGGAUUGAACGGAGAGAGAGGAUUAGUUGGAGAUGUCGGCAGUAAAGGUAAUGCUGGGAAGAUAGGUCCACAAGGUCCACAAGGUCCACGAGGGAUAAAAGGAGACACAGGAAGGAAAGGAGAGAAAGGAGAAGCUAUGACACUCAACUGGAAACAGUGUGUGUGGAAUAGAAAUGAUAAUAAGGACAGCGGUCUGAUUCAGAACUGUAAUUUUAGGAAACAUGACAGCAAUUCAGCUCUACAUGUUGCAUAUGCAGGAAAUCUCAGGGUUCUGUGCUCCAGUGGCUCUUGCUGUUCUCGAUGGUAUUUUACAUUCAAUGGCAACGAGUGCAGUGGACCUAUGACUAUUGAGGGAGUUGUGUAUGGUGAUCCAGCUAAUGAUAAUCCUCACCGUCACAGACAGAUUGAGGGAUACUGUGAGAACAUUCCAGCAGGUCAAGUCACAAUUGGAUUCAACAUUGGAAACUGUAACAAAUUAACAUCAACAACGUAUAAUGGCUAUACAGGAUGGAAAUCAGUAUCUCGCAUUAUGAUUGCAGAAGUUCCUCCAUCACAAAAGUGACUGAAUUAGAGAGAAAUUAGAACUUGUGUUCAGUAUAGUUUGCAGUACGUACAGUACGAGGUAGUUGAAGUAGGAGGCUGGAUGGUGUGUGUGCAUGUCUCUCUUUGCCGUAUGUGAGUGUAUGUAUGAUUAAUUCAACAUGUAGCUGCAACUAACAAUCGA
Molecule: RNA transcript, 3568 nt
Organism: Corticium candelabrum
Lineage: Eukaryota; Metazoa; Porifera; Homoscleromorpha; Homosclerophorida; Plakinidae
Gene name: collagen triple helix repeat-containing protein 1-like
Exons: 9
Source: RefSeq, a predicted model, not a curated record